UUGUGGUCAAGCUAAUAAGGGCUAAUGGUGGAUACCUAGGCACACAGAGGCGAAGAAGGACGUGGUUACCGACGAAAUGUUCCGGGGAGUUGGAAGCAAACUGAGAGCCGGAAAUAUCCGAAUGGGGCAACCCUAUGUACUACCUGUUGAAUAUAUAGACAGGAAAGAGCCAACCCAGCGAACUGAAACAUCUUAGUAGCU
RNAcentral lists this ribosomal RNA (201 nucleotides) under Aphanizomenon flos-aquae MDT14a. RNAcentral describes it as "partial 23S ribosomal RNA". It matches the Rfam family "Bacterial large subunit ribosomal RNA", at positions 1 to 211 of the family's 2925-position model. The record is from RNAcentral. Lineage: Bacteria; Bacillati; Cyanobacteriota; Cyanophyceae; Nostocales; Aphanizomenonaceae.